Molecule: ribosomal RNA, 759 nt
Filed under: uncultured Stenotrophomonas sp.
Lineage: Bacteria; Pseudomonadati; Pseudomonadota; Gammaproteobacteria; Lysobacterales; Lysobacteraceae
Description: bacterial SSU rRNA
Rfam family: Bacterial small subunit ribosomal RNA
Source: RNAcentral
AGUGAACGCUGGCGGUAGGCCCAACACAUGCAAGUCGAACGGCAGCACAGAGGAGCUUGCUCCUUGGGUGGCGAGUGGCGGACGGGUGAGGAAUACAUCGGAAUCUACUCUGUCGUGGGGGAUAACGUAGGGAAACUUACGCUAAUACCGCAUACGACCUACGGGUGAAAGCAGGGGAUCUUCGGACCUUGCGCGAUUGAAUGAGCCGAUGUCGGAUUAGCUAGUUGGCGGGGUAAAGGCCCACCAAGGCGACGAUCCGUAGCUGGUCUGAGAGGAUGAUCAGCCACACUGGAACUGAGACACGGUCCAGACUCCUACGGGAGGCAGCAGUGGGGAAUAUUGGACAAUGGGCGCAAGCCUGAUCCAGCCAUACCGCGUGGGUGAAGAAGGCCUUCGGGUUGUAAAGCCCUUUUGUUGGGAAAGAAAUCCAGCCGGCUAAUACCUGGUUGGGAUGACGGUACCCAAAGAAUAAGCACCGGCUAACUUCGUGCCAGCAGCCGCGGUAAUACGAAGGGUGCAAGCGUUACUCGGAAUUACUGGGCGUAAAGCGUGCGUAGGUGGUUAUUUAAGUCCGUUGUGAAAGCCCUGGGCUCAACCUGGGAACUGCAGUGGAUACUGGAUGACUAGAAUGUGGUAGGGGGUAGCGGAAUUCCUGGUGUAGCAGUGAAAUGCGUAGAGAUCAGGAGGAACAUCCAUGGCGAAGGCAGCUACCUGGACCAACAUUGACACUGAGGCACGAAAGCGUGGGGAGCAAACAGG